This 330-nucleotide ribosomal RNA is filed under the name uncultured bacterium. Its description in RNAcentral is "bacterial SSU rRNA". It matches the Rfam family "Bacterial small subunit ribosomal RNA", at positions 568 to 898 of the family's 1533-position model. The record is from RNAcentral.
UGCGCAGGCGGUUUCGCAAGUCAGAUGUGAAAGCCCCGGGCUUAACCUGGGAAUUGCAUUUGAAACUACGAGGCUAGAGUGUGUCAGAGGGAGGUAGAAUUCCACGUGUAGCAGUGAAAUGCGUAGAGAUGUGGAGGAAUACCGAUGGCGAAGGCAGCCUCCUGGGAUGACACUGACGCUCAUGCACGAAAGCGUGGGGAGCAAACAGGAUUAGAUACCCUGGUAGUCCACGCCCUAAACGAUGUCAACUAGUUGUCGGGGAAGCAAUUCCUUGGUAACGCAGCUAACGCGUGAAGUUGACCGCCUGGGGAGUACGGUCGCAAGAUUAAA